GCCUGGGUGGCUCAGUUGGUUGAGCGUCUGACUUCGGCUCAGGUCAUGAUCUCGCAGUUCGUGAGUUUGAGCCCCACGUCGGGCU
Molecule: transfer RNA, 85 nt
Filed under: Felis catus (domestic cat)
Lineage: Eukaryota; Metazoa; Chordata; Mammalia; Carnivora; Felidae
Rfam family: tRNA
About the family: Transfer RNA (tRNA) molecules are approximately 80 nucleotides in length. Their secondary structure includes four short double-helical elements and three loops (D, anti-codon, and T loops).
Source: Rfam by way of RNAcentral